UACGUAGGGAGCGAGCGUUGUCCGGAUUUAUUGGGUGUAAAGGGUGCGUAGGCGGCUUUGCAAGUCAGGCGUGUAAUCCAGAGGCUUAACCUCUGAACUGCGCUUGAAACUGCUUGGCUUGAGUGGAGUAGAGGCAGAUGGAAUUUCCAGUGUAGCGGUGAAAUGCGUAGAUAUUGGAAGGAACACCAGUGGCGAAGGCGAUCUGCUGGGCUCUUACUGACGCUGAGGCACGAAAGCAUGGGGAGCAAAC
Molecule: ribosomal RNA, 250 nt
Filed under: uncultured prokaryote
Description: partial 16S ribosomal RNA
Rfam family: Bacterial small subunit ribosomal RNA
Source: RNAcentral